RNAcentral lists this ribosomal RNA (488 nucleotides) under uncultured bacterium. RNAcentral describes it as "partial 16S ribosomal RNA". It matches the Rfam family "Bacterial small subunit ribosomal RNA", at positions 28 to 507 of the family's 1533-position model. The record is from RNAcentral.
GACGAACGCUGGCGGCGUGCUUAACACAUGCAAGUCGAACGGAAAGGCCCUGCUUUUGUGGGGUGCUCGAGUGGCGAACGGGUGAGUAACACGUGAGUAACCUGCCCUUGACUUUGGGAUAACUUCAGGAAACUGGGGCUAAUACCGGAUAGGAGCUCCUGCUGCAUGGUGGGGGAUGGAAAGUUUCGGCGGUUGGGGAUGGACUCGCGGCGUAUGAGCUUGUUGGUAGGGUAGUGGCUUACCAAGGCUUUGACGGGUAGCCGGCCUGAGCGGGUGAUCGGCCACAUUGGAACUGAGACACGGUCCAGACUCCUACGGGAGGCAGCAGUAGGGAAUUUUAGGCAAUGGGCGGAAGCCUGACGCAGCAAUGCCGCGUGCGUGAUGAAGGCCUUCGGUUCGUAAAGUUCUGUUAUGCGGGACGAACCGAUUUGGAUUUAUACCUGGAGGUAGUGACGGUACCGGAUAAAAAAGCACCGGCUAACUACGUG